AAACCGGGAAGCUAAUACCGGAUAAUAUAUUGAACCGCAUGGUUCAAUAGUGAAAGAACGGUUUUGUCUGUCACUUAUAGAUGGAUCCGCGCUGCAUUAGCUAGUUGGUAAGGUAACGGCUUACCAAGGCAACGAUGCGUAGCCGACCUGAGAGGGUGAUCGGCCACACUGGAACUGAGACACGGUCCAGACUCCUACGGGAGGCAGCAGAC
RNAcentral lists this ribosomal RNA (212 nucleotides) under uncultured Staphylococcus sp. RNAcentral's name for it is "partial 16S ribosomal RNA". It matches the Rfam family "Bacterial small subunit ribosomal RNA", at positions 154 to 354 of the family's 1533-position model. Lineage: Bacteria; Bacillati; Bacillota; Bacilli; Caryophanales; Staphylococcaceae. The record is from RNAcentral.